UACGAAGGGGGCGAGCGUUGUUCGGAUUUACUGGGCGUAAAGGGCGCGCAGGCGGCUCAUUUUGUCAGGCGUGAAAGCCCCGGGCUUAACCUGGGAACUGCGUUUGAUACGGAUGGGCUAGAGUUCGGGAGAGGAGAGUGGAAUUCCCAGUGUAGAGGUGAAAUUCGUAGAUAUUCGCAAGAACACCAGUGGCGAAGGCGGCUCACUGGCCCGGUACUGACGCUGAGGUGCGAAGGCGUGGGGAGCAAACAGG
RNAcentral lists this ribosomal RNA (253 nucleotides) under uncultured bacterium. RNAcentral describes it as "partial 16S ribosomal RNA". It matches the Rfam family "Bacterial small subunit ribosomal RNA", at positions 524 to 776 of the family's 1533-position model. The record is from RNAcentral.